GGUUAAGCGACUAAGCGUACACGGUGGAUGCCCUGGCAGUCAGAGGCGAUGAAGGGCGUGCUAAUCUGCGAUAAGCGCCGGUAAGGUGAUAUGAACCGUUAUAACCGGCGAUACCCGAAUGGGGAAACCCAGUGUGAUUCGUCACACUAUCAUUAACUGAAUCCAUAGGUUAAUGAGGCGAACCGGGGGAACUGAAACAUCUAAGUACCCCGAGGAAAAGAAAUCAACCGAGAUUCCCCCAGUAGCGGCGAGCGAACGGGGAGGAGCCCAGAGCCUGAAUCAGCAUGUGUGUUAGUGGAAGCGUCUGGAAAGGCGCGCGAUACAGGGUGACAGCCCCGUACACAAAAGCGCAUGUGCUGUGAGCUCGAUGAGUAGGGCGGGACACGUGGUAUCCUGUCUGAAUAUGGGGGGACCAUCCUCCAAGGCUAAAUACUCCUGACUGACCGAUAGUGAACCAGUACCGUGAGGGAAAGGCGAAAAGAACCCCGGCGAGGGGAGUGAAAAAGAACCUGAAACCGUGUACGUACAAGCAGUGGGAGCACAGGUUUACCUGUGUGACUGCGUACCUUUUGUAUAAUGGGUCAGCGACUUAUAUUCUGUAGCAAGGUUAACCGUAUAGGGGAGCCGAAGGGAAACCGAGUCUUAAC
Molecule: ribosomal RNA, 647 nt
Filed under: Salmonella enterica
Lineage: Bacteria; Pseudomonadati; Pseudomonadota; Gammaproteobacteria; Enterobacterales; Enterobacteriaceae
Also listed under: 1 other name
Description: partial 23S ribosomal RNA
Rfam family: Bacterial large subunit ribosomal RNA
Source: RNAcentral